This 254-nucleotide ribosomal RNA is filed under the name uncultured bacterium. RNAcentral's name for it is "partial 16S ribosomal RNA". It matches the Rfam family "Bacterial small subunit ribosomal RNA", at positions 524 to 776 of the family's 1533-position model. The record is from RNAcentral.
UACGUAGGCAGCGAGCGUUGUUCGGAGUUACUGGGCGUAAAGGGUGUGUAGGCGGUUGUUUAAGUUUGGUGUGAAAUCUCCCGGCUCAACUGGGAGGGUGCGCCGAAUACUGAAUGACUUGGAGUGCGGGAGAGGUGAGUGGAAUUCCUGGUGUAGCGGUGAAAUGCGUAGAUAUCAGGAGGAACACCGGUGGUGUAGACGGCUCACUGGACCGUAACUGACGCUGAGACACGGAAGCGUGGGUAGCAAACAGG